UGGGGAAUAUUGCGCAAUGGGCGAAAGCCUGACGCAGCAACGCCGCGUGAGUGAUGAAGGCCUUCGGGUCGUAAAGCUCUGUCGGAGGGAACGAAUGCUCCUGAAGUUAACAGCCUCAGGAGGUGACGGUACCCUCAAAGGAAGCACCGGCUAACUCUGUGCCAGCAGCCGCGGUAAUACGUAGGGUGCGAGCGUUAAUCGGAAUUACUGGGCGUAAAGCGCACGUAGGCGGAUUGUUAAGUCAGAGGUGAAAUCCCGGAGCUCAACUUCGGAACUGCCUUUGAUACUGGCAAUCUAGAGUCCGGAAGAGGUUAGUGGAAUUCCCAGUGUAGAGGUGAAAUUCGUAGAUAUUGGGAAGAACACCAGUGGCGAAGGCGGCUAACUGGCCCGGUACUGACGCUGAGGUGCGAAAGCGUGGGGAGCAAACAGGAUUAGAUACCCCAGUAGUCCCUGAGCGGGCUGGCAAGGCGCAU
RNAcentral lists this ribosomal RNA (473 nucleotides) under uncultured bacterium. Its description in RNAcentral is "bacterial SSU rRNA". It matches the Rfam family "Bacterial small subunit ribosomal RNA", at positions 355 to 825 of the family's 1533-position model. The record is from RNAcentral.